This 763-nucleotide long non-coding RNA is filed under the name Monodelphis domestica (gray short-tailed opossum). Its description in RNAcentral is "lncRNA (ENSMODG00000048619.1)". Lineage: Eukaryota; Metazoa; Chordata; Mammalia; Didelphimorphia; Didelphidae. The record is from RNAcentral.
GCAUGCAUUGCAUAAAUUCCAUCAAAGGGGACUGAGAAGAAGUGCUUAGAACGAUAGGAAACAAAUUAAGAGAAGCUAAUAUCAUCAAAUUGCAGAAAGAAAAGUAUCAAAAUAAGAGAAUUGACAGCAUCAAAGGCUACAAAGAGAAGCAGAUGUUGUCACUCUCAUUCUAAACAGGAGGAAACUGAGGCAAAAAGAAGUCACAUGAAUUGCCCAGAGUCACAUAUCUAUAAGGAUCUGAGGCCAGAUUUGGACUUAUGUCUUCCUUACUCAAGGCUGGACCUUCUUUCUAUCCACUGGCCCACAUAUCCAAGGAAAUGAAAUGAAGUAGAGGUUAAAAAGAGAAGGCUGAGUUGAAUGAUUUGUUCAAAAAGACAUUCUAAAUAAAGGAGCAGUGACUAGAAUCUUUUCCUUCUAUGUAAAAUGUCAAUGAUGCUUCAAAAACUGUGAACUGAUAUUCUGGUAUGCCUUCACUUUAGAGGAUAUAACUGUCUUAGAAGUGGAGAAUGAGUUGUCUCUGCAUGGAAAAGGAGACUACCCAAGGUGGUUCAAGAAAAAUAAAACAGAGAUUUGGAUCUUUACAAAUGCAAAUCUUGUUCAAUUUAAUGGCCUCUCUUGUGAGUUCUAUAUAGCAAGCCAUUCUCUAGUACAUAAUUUAAGAAAUCUCAGGCAUCAUAGUGUUGAGACAGAUGGCAAAACCCUGCAAUGGGAUGAGGGAUGCCUUCAUAAGCUAUUGAUUCCAUUAGUGAAAUUUAAAUCUCUG